This 490-nucleotide ribosomal RNA is filed under the name Escherichia coli. Its description in RNAcentral is "bacterial SSU rRNA". The record is from RNAcentral. Lineage: Bacteria; Pseudomonadati; Pseudomonadota; Gammaproteobacteria; Enterobacterales; Enterobacteriaceae.
AUUGAACGCUGGCGGCAGGCCUAACACAUGCAAGUCGAACGGUAACAGAAAGCAGCUUGCUGCUUUGCUGACGAGUGGCGGACGGGUGAGUAAUGUCUGGGAAACUGCCUGAUGGAGGGGGAUAACUACUGGAAACGGUAGCUAAUACCGCAUAACGUCGCAAGACCAAAGAGGGGGACCUUCGGGCCUCUUGCCAUCGGAUGUGCCCAGAUGGGAUUAGCUAGUAGGUGGGGUAAMGGCUCACCUAGGCGACGAUCCCUAGCUGGUCUGAGAGGAUGACCAGCCACACUGGAACUGAGACACGGUCCAGACUCCUACGGGAGGCAGCAGUGGGGAAUAUUGCACAAUGGGCGCAAGCCUGAUGCAGCCAUGCCGCGUGUAUGAAGAAGGCCUUCGGGUUGUAAAGUACUUUCAGCGGGGAGGAAGGGAGUAAAGUUAAUACCUUUGCUCAUUGACGUUACCCGCAGAAGAAGCACCGGCUAACUCCGUG